GCGGACUCAGCUCUGUUCAAACGGCAGGGGGCAGCGCUCUCCGUUUGGGCGGAAAAGCUCAGGGGGAAACAGCAGCUCUUCGCGGAGCGAGAGCACGUCUUCGAGGCGACUUGCCUGGCUCUGGGCGGGCCUCACAGAUGCUGCGUUCUCCUUUUUUUUUUUUUUUUUUUUUUUUGCGUUUAUGCUGCGUUCUCCUACCUGCUGCCUCACCUGCACCGGAGCUUUCGCCACGGAGAGUGGGCGUCUCUCACCGAGCUUCAGCCUCUCACUCUCUCGCCCUGCGCUCCUCGCUCACACACCGCCAGCCGCUUAACUCACCGGCCUUUCCAACUCGCUGUGCCGCAGCAGCUCCACCUCCCACCUUGGCUCAACGGAGGCUCCCUCGCUCAGUGGCUCAGCUGUUCCUGCUAAGGAGAAGCGACGCUCACGCUGUCAUCGCGCUUUCCGUUUGGAGCAGUAGCAUCCGGUGGGUGGGUUGUUUCAGUCCACCUGCUGAGUUUGCCGACCUGGUCGUCAUAAGACUGUAGUGACUAUUGCACCGAAGUCUUCAAGAUAUGGUUUGAUGUGUCCAGCAGAAUCUGAUGUCCUCUGGGUACCAGCCAUUCUCAGGGUCUCGGGGGUGCUGGAGCCUAUCCCAGCUGUCUUAGGGCGAGAGGCAGGGUACACCCUGGACAGGUCGCCAGUCAGGUCUAACACAUAGACACUCACAUUCACACCUAUGGACAAUUUAGUUUCCAGUUAACCUAACCCCACUAACUGCAUGUCUUUGGACUGUGGGAGGAAACCGGAGUACUCAGAGAGAACCCACACAAACACGGAGAGAACAUGCAAACUCCACACAGAAAGACCUGGUGGUGUGUACAGUGUCCAUUUCUGUCUGUCUUUACGUUGGGUGAGUGCUGAGUAUUUGUAUAUGUGUGCAUGAGGGUGGGAAUGCACGUUUGUGUCUGUGUGUGCCUGUUGGUCUGUGUCUAUAUGUCAGGCCGGGUCUUAGACUCCGCCCCUCACCACACUCCCUGCCGGUGGCUGAUGCCCUCAGACGUCGGUGCGUUGGUGGUUCUCGGUGUCCGGGGCUGGGCGCUCAGGUAUCUACGGGCUCACUCCCGGUGGCUGCUUGGUGGGGCCUGGCGCCCGUGGGUCAGUCGUGCCCCUUCCAGGGGGCCCUGGGACCUCAGGCCUCUGGGCCUGGGGCUCGGUUCACUCUGGCACAGCUGGCUGCCGGCAGAGCCUGCGGGCACGUCACUGCAGCCCCCUCUGGC
Molecule: long non-coding RNA, 1259 nt
Organism: Oreochromis aureus
Lineage: Eukaryota; Metazoa; Chordata; Actinopteri; Cichliformes; Cichlidae
Source: Ensembl